UUGAAUUGAAGGUGGAGUAUGGUUUGACAUAAGUGUGGGGUUUCAACUGCUAAAGUAUAUGUAUUAAAGUGCUUAGGGAGGUGUAGUCACUCUUAUAUCUAAUGUAUCCUACCCUUCCCACAACCUAAAUUACAACAAGUUAAAAGUUCUACUUGAUCCUUGACUGAAUGAACUCAAUUAGUAGAGUAGUAUACUACGAGCAAGCCUAUGAUGCAUCUUUUAUGGCAAAUGAAUAUCUUUUCUAAGAGUGAGUGAAUUUUGUCUGUCUGGGAGUUCCUAGUUGUUCUUGAAUUAUAUUGAUUAUGGAAAUAUUCUCUUUGUUGUGGGAGGGAACUUGAUUCAUGAAGGAAAGGUAAUUCUUGACCUCUGUGUUAGAGCAAGUGAGUAACUUAUGAAUAAUGCAUGGUGCUUGUGAGUUAAUUCUUGAGGUAAAGAUGUUACACUUCUGUGUUUAGACUAUUUGAAAUAUUUUUUGUGUGAUGAGUUAGGAAAGUCACUUAGUGAGGUUGUGUCCAUGCAAAGUGUGGUUUGAUUGCUCGAGGACGAGCAAUGAUUUAAGUAUGGGGUAUUGAUAGUAGGCUAUAACUAUGUAUUUUAAUCACUAUUUGCAUUUUAAAUUGGUUGCACUUUACUGAUGCUUGAGCGUUAAAUGGUAGAAUAUUGCCCUGACUGAAUAUUUUAUACUUUGCAGGAGCAAUUCAGAACUACAAUGAGGUUAGUGAGUGUUUUGAGCUAAUAUGGAGUGUUGAAGGCCAAGUAAAACCUUAUGGAGUAAAUUGGAAGUUCGUUCGAGAAUCAAAGGAGGUUAGCGCACUUAAAAGGAAGAACGAAAAAGAGUAUAGAAAAUUUCCCAGGUGUGUGGCCACGCACUGACCGUGCACUGGGCCGCGCACUCGGCCGCGCAAGUUAGCAGAAACUGGCCAAAGUGCACUGUCACCUGCCUAGGUGCGCGGCCGCGCACGUCCUUCCGUGAAAAAGUAUUCCAAGGCUAAAAUUAUAAUUUCAGAAGCAACUUUCCUUGACCUAUAUGAAGCCUAGCUCACCCAAAAGAGGGCAUCUUGGUUUUUAAGAGAUUUUGAAAGCAAGAAUAGGCAAGGAGCAAGACGGAAUAUUCGGA
Molecule: long non-coding RNA, 1117 nt
Filed under: Nicotiana benthamiana
Lineage: Eukaryota; Viridiplantae; Streptophyta; Magnoliopsida; Solanales; Solanaceae
Description: long non-coding RNA (NBEN_LNC020746)
Source: RNAcentral